ACUCAAAUGAAUUGACGGGGACCCGCACAAGCGGUGGAUGAUGUGGAUUAAUUCGAUGCAACGCGAAUAACCUUACCUACCCUUGACAUGUACGGAAGCCCAGCGAGAGCUGGGUGUGCCCGAAAGGGAGCCGUAACACAGGUGCUGCAUGGCUGUCGUCAGCUCGUGUCGUGAGAUGUUGGGUUAAGUCCCGCAACGAGCGCAACCCUUGUCCCUAGUUGCUACGCAAGGGCACUCUAGGGAGACUGCCGGUGACAAACCGGAGGAAGGUGGGGAUGACGUCAAGUCCUCAUGGCCCUUAUGGGUAGGGCUUCACACGUCAUACAAUGGCCGGUACAGAGGGUUGCCAAGCCGCGAGGCGGAGCCAAUCCCAGAAAGCCGGUCGUAGUCCGGAUUGCAGUCUGCAACUCGACUGCAUGAAGUCGGAAUCGCUAGUAAUCGCGGAUCAGCAUGUCGCGGUGAAUACGUUCCCGGGUCUUGUACACACCGCCCGU
RNAcentral lists this ribosomal RNA (494 nucleotides) under uncultured bacterium. RNAcentral's name for it is "partial 16S ribosomal RNA". It matches the Rfam family "Bacterial small subunit ribosomal RNA", at positions 899 to 1397 of the family's 1533-position model. The record is from RNAcentral.